AUGCUGUUCUUUUUCAGUCUGUGGCUUAUUUCCCUUUUAACAGGUGAUGCCUCUAGUGAGGGAAUAACACCAGUCUCUCUUCAUGUAUUUGUCUCAGAAGGUAAACCAAUCACCCUGUCCUGCAAUUACAAUGGGUCAUCUGGUACAAAUGCUCUCCACUGGUAUCGUCAGUACCCGGGAUCCAGACCAGACUUCCUGUAUCUAGUUAAUGAAGCUGCAUUUAAGCAACCAGCUGUUCCUCCAAUUCCUGGAAUAUCCGCUACAUUAAAUGAGGAGAAAAAUCGUGUGGAUCUGGAGAUCAAUGGCACUGCCUUAAAUGAUUCUGCUCUGUACUACUGUGCCCUGCAGCCCACAGUGACAGGAAACAACACAUACACUUAUCCUGGAUCCAAACCUGAAUUUGUGCUCCUUGUCAUGGAGUCAUCUGCAAAACAUGUAAAAUAUGCAGAGCCCCGCAUCCCAGAAAUGGAUGGGAAAAUGAGUAUGAAAGACAAGCAAGUGGAUCUGAAGAUCACCUCAGCUGAAGUGUCAGACUCUGCAAUGUAUUACUGUGCCCUGGAGCCCACAGUGACAGGAAACACAUCAACACUAUUGAACAAGUAA
Molecule: non-coding RNA, 603 nt
Organism: Labeo rohita (rohu)
Lineage: Eukaryota; Metazoa; Chordata; Actinopteri; Cypriniformes; Cyprinidae
Source: the annotation of a RefSeq genome assembly